Molecule: ribosomal RNA, 546 nt
Filed under: uncultured Glomeromycotina
Lineage: Eukaryota; Fungi; Glomeromycota
Description: SSU rRNA
Rfam family: Eukaryotic small subunit ribosomal RNA
Source: RNAcentral
UUGGAGGGCAAGUCUGGUGCCAGCAGCCGCGGUAAUUCCAGCUCCAAUAGCGUAUAUUAAAGUUGUUGCAGUUAAAAAGCUCGUAGUUGAAUUUCGGGAUUAGUACGCUGGUCGUGCCUUCGGUACGUACUGGUGUUACUGAUUUCUACCUUCUGACGAACCAUCAUGUCAUUAAUUUGGUGUGGUGGGGAAUCAGGACUGUUACUUUGAAAAAAUUAGAGUGUUUAAAGCAGGCUCGCGCUUGAAUACAUUAGCAUGGAAUAAUGAAAUAGGACGUUGAUCCUAUUUUGUUGGUUUCUAGGAUUGACGUAAUGAUUAAUAGGGAUAGUUGGGGGCAUUAGUAUUCAAUUGUCAGAGGUGAAAUUUUUGGAUUUAUUGAAGACUAACUACUGCGAAAGCAUUUGCCAAGGACGUUUUCAUUAAUCAAGAACGAAAGUUAGGGGAUCGAAGACGAUCAGAUACCGUCGUAGUCUUAACCAUAAACUAUGCCGACUAGGGAUCGGAUGAUGUUAUUUUUAAUGACUCAUUCGGCGCCUUACGGGAAAC